CACCCUCGACCAAUAUCAUCCCUCGGGCCUAAAGGCCCUUGGACUGAUAUUGGUGUCUCGGCAUGAUACGACAUAUGAUACGAAUUUUGCCAUGUAUUAUUCUUUAUCAUAUAUUUAGUACAAAAUACAGCUAUUUUGUAUAUCUAAUAAAGGUUGUUUUUCCAGUCUGUAUCACCUACCCUGUAUCGCAUACCCCGUAUCGCAUAGCUAAACCCGUAUCGCAUACCCUGUAUCGCAUGGUAAAACCCGUAUCGCAU
RNAcentral lists this long non-coding RNA (257 nucleotides) under Mytilus galloprovincialis (Mediterranean mussel). The record is from RNAcentral. Lineage: Eukaryota; Metazoa; Mollusca; Bivalvia; Mytilida; Mytilidae.